AGAGAAAUAUAAUAUAAUUGUAAUUUAGUCCUUUGUAUGCACAGUAAUUAGACUUUAAUUAAAAUAUCAUGUUCUGUUAUUUUUUCUGCAGAUGCCUGCCUCAGUAGGUGCCCAAGAGAAGAGCAGAAGAAACUAAUGAAAAGGAGCAGGACUGUAUAGUGAAAGCACUUUCUGUCUGGAGAACUCUGGCUUUGCUUGCUGGAGAAGGCUGCAAAUGCAUAAUGAAUAAGGCAGGAUGCUGCAGAAAGACAUAAAAUGGUCUCAGAGGGGAUGCCUGAUGUCUUUGUGGAGAGCUAGGUUCUACAGCUUGCUUAUCUCUCUCCCAUAAACAGAAAAAUUGACCACAAAGUAGAUGAUUCUCAUUUUCUCUGUGUCCAAGAUUAUUUUAGAGACUGAACCUGUCUUCAGGGAAAGAAGAACCAACAAAGCAGAACAACCCACCCUCCUGCUGUAUCUCCAGCCCUGACACAAAAUCUGUUGUGUUGGAUUUUAUAUUGAAAUAACGACUGCCUCCAAAUCCAGGAGCAGCUGUGCUGAGGCUGAAGAGCUGCUGGAUGCCAAAAGCCUCUCUGGAGAGUGUCUCCAGAGCCUCUCUGUAAACUGUGGGUCCCCUCUGGAGUUGUCUGGGAGCUAACUGGAUUUCCCUCACCUGGACAAAUACAUUGUCUCUUGUUUGGGAUGGAGAGACUGCCUGAGCUCCUAUUCCUGAGCUUUAGGUAAAAAUCACGCCAAACUGAGGAUUCUUCUGCCACAUGUUGACAUAGCAGUAAAUUUUUGUUUUAUUUUUUUUUAACUGAAAAUGGUAUCAGGGAACUCCUGAUGACUGAAGGCAGAUCCCAGAAGAUCUCAGGCUAGCCUUCAGGAGGAAUCUCUGCUGGAAGCCAAGCACUGGGCAAGCAGUUAAUGUGCUUUAAGAACAAGCCCUUGAAAACCAUUUAGGCAUCAUGCAGUGUUGCCACAGCAUGAGGUCCUAGAUUUUUGUGAAAGGAGAAAGUAUAACUACACAGAAAAGUUUGGUAAAGGCACCUAGACCCAAGGCUGCUGUUGUGAACUUACUGAAAUUUGUUGGGGGAUGAUGAAAUGAAAUAGCAA
RNAcentral lists this long non-coding RNA (1092 nucleotides) under Cyanistes caeruleus (blue tit). Its description in RNAcentral is "lncRNA (ENSCCEG00000014093.1)". The record is from RNAcentral. Lineage: Eukaryota; Metazoa; Chordata; Aves; Passeriformes; Paridae.